Long non-coding RNA from Melopsittacus undulatus (budgerigar), 281 nucleotides. RefSeq lists it as uncharacterized. The record is from RefSeq and is a predicted model, not a curated record. Lineage: Eukaryota; Metazoa; Chordata; Aves; Psittaciformes; Psittaculidae. The transcript is spliced from 3 exons.
UCUCAACUGAAAGAAACUUGAUUGGAAUAAUUACUUCUUUGUCCCGGUCGGCACCAACAAGAUUACCUGGCAGAGAAAGGUUAAGCACUUACAGAAAAUGUCUUGAAUGUUGAGAUCCAGGGUCACAAGUGGGAAAUGGCUGCAGAAAACCUGAAUGGAUCUUCACUGAAUAACCAUGGAAACCAGAGAGCAGCUGUAUGAAAAUUCAGGCCACCAAAGCAAAAUGGUUGAAGGAAGGUUUUGAAGAAGCCUCUCUUUCUCACUGGCUGGAGAGGCAAACC